GACGUAGGGCGCGAGCGUUGUCCGGAUUUAUUGGGCGUAAAGAGCUCGUAGGCGGCUUGUUGCGUCGACCGUGAAAACCCGGGGCUCAACUUCGGGCUUGCGGUCGAUACGGGCGGGCUAGAGUUCGGUAGAGGGUAGUGGAAUUCCCGGUGUAGCGGUGAAAUGCGUAGAGAUCGGGAGGAACACCAGUGGCGAAGGCGGCUGCCUGGACCUGCCCUGACACUGAGGCACGAAAGCGUGGGGAGCAAACAGG
Molecule: ribosomal RNA, 253 nt
Filed under: uncultured bacterium
Lineage: Bacteria
Description: partial 16S ribosomal RNA
Rfam family: Bacterial small subunit ribosomal RNA
Source: RNAcentral